UACGGAGGGUGCGAGCGUUAUCCGGAAUUACUGGGUUUAAAGGGUGCGUAGGCGGCCAUUUAAGUCAGGAGUGAAAGUUUGCGGCUCAACCGUAAAAUUGCUUUUGAUACUGCAUGGCUGGAAUCAGGAUGAGGUCAGCGGAAUGUGGCAUGUAGCGGUGAAAUGCAUAGAUAUGCCAUAGAACACCAAUUGCGAAGGCAGCUGGCUAGACCUGUAUUGACGCUGAGGCACGAAAGCGUGGGGAGCGAACAGG
RNAcentral lists this ribosomal RNA (253 nucleotides) under uncultured bacterium. RNAcentral describes it as "partial 16S ribosomal RNA". It matches the Rfam family "Bacterial small subunit ribosomal RNA", at positions 524 to 776 of the family's 1533-position model. The record is from RNAcentral.